RNAcentral lists this ribosomal RNA (253 nucleotides) under uncultured bacterium. RNAcentral describes it as "partial 16S ribosomal RNA". It matches the Rfam family "Bacterial small subunit ribosomal RNA", at positions 524 to 776 of the family's 1533-position model. The record is from RNAcentral.
UACAGAGGUCCCAAGCGUUGUUCGGAUUCACUGGGCGUAAAGGGUGCGUAGGCGGUCGGGUAAGUCUGAUGUGAAAUCUCACAGCUUAACUGUGAAACUGCAUUGGAUACUAUCCGGCUAGAGGAAUGGAGGGGAGACUGGAAUACUUGGUGUAGCAGUGAAAUGCGCAGAUAUCAGGAGGAACACCGGUGGCGAAGGCGGGUCUCUGGGCCGUAACUGACGCUGAGGAGCGAAAGCGUGGGGAGCGAACAGG